UGGGGUAUCGUCUAAUGGUAGGACACAUGGUUUUGGUCCAUGGUAUCGAGGUUCGAGUCCUUGUACCCCAG
Molecule: transfer RNA, 71 nt
Filed under: Minisyncoccota bacterium
Lineage: Bacteria; Bacillati; Minisyncoccota
Description: tRNA-Gln
Rfam family: tRNA
About the family: Transfer RNA (tRNA) molecules are approximately 80 nucleotides in length. Their secondary structure includes four short double-helical elements and three loops (D, anti-codon, and T loops). Further hydrogen bonds mediate the characteristic L-shaped molecular structure. tRNAs have two regions of fundamental functional importance: the anti-codon, which is responsible for specific mRNA codon recognition, and the 3' end, to which the tRNAs corresponding amino acid is attached (by aminoacyl-tRNA synthetases). tRNAs cope with the degeneracy of the genetic code in two manners: having more than one tRNA (with a specific anti-codon) for a particular amino acid; and 'wobble' base-pairing, i.e. permitting non-standard base-pairing at the 3rd anti-codon position.
Source: RNAcentral